RNAcentral lists this transfer RNA (47 nucleotides) under Plumatella casmiana. RNAcentral's name for it is "tRNA-Tyr". Lineage: Eukaryota; Metazoa; Bryozoa; Phylactolaemata; Plumatellidae. The record is from RNAcentral.
UUUAAUAAGUCUUCAGAGCUUUGUAAGAGCUCAUCAUAAUUUGCUGU